UACAGAGGGGGCAAGCGUUAUUCGGAAUUAUUGGGCGUAAAGGGCGCGUAGGCGGUUUUGUAAGUGACGGGUGAAAGCCCUCGGCUUAACCGAGGAACUGCCUGUCAGACUGUGAGGCUUGAGACCGGGAGAGGUGAGUGGAAUUCCCAGUGUAGCGGUGAAAUGCGUAGAUAUUGGGAGGAACACCAGUGGCGAAGGCGGCUCACUGGACCGGAACUGACGCUGAGGCGCGAAAGCGUGGGGAGCAAACAGG
RNAcentral lists this ribosomal RNA (253 nucleotides) under uncultured bacterium. RNAcentral's name for it is "partial 16S ribosomal RNA". It matches the Rfam family "Bacterial small subunit ribosomal RNA", at positions 524 to 776 of the family's 1533-position model. The record is from RNAcentral.